CCUACGUGAGUCAGCAGUGGGGAAUAUUGCGCCCUGGGCGAACGCCUGACGCCGCGACGCCUCGUGAGGGAUGAAGGUCUUCGGAUCGUAAACCUCUGUCAGCAGGGAAGAACGGUCACUGUGCUAAUCAGCAGUGAAUUGACGGUACCUGCAAAGGAAGCACCGGCUAACUCCGUGCCAGCAGCCACGGUAAUACGGAGGGUGCGAGCGUUAAUCGGAAUUACUGGGCGUAAAGCGCUCGUAGGCGGUAUGUCAAGUCAAGGGUGAAAUCCCCGCGCUCAACGUGGGAACUGCCUUUGAAACUGGCAAACUGGAGUGUGUGAGAGGAUAGUGGAAUUCCAGGUGUAGGAGUGAAAUCCGUAGAUAUCUGGAGGAACAUCAGUGGCGAAGGCGACUAUCUGGCACAUAACUGACGCUGAGGAGCGAAAGCGUGGGUAGCAAACAGGAUUAGAUACCCGGGUAGUC
RNAcentral lists this ribosomal RNA (465 nucleotides) under uncultured bacterium. RNAcentral's name for it is "partial 16S ribosomal RNA". It matches the Rfam family "Bacterial small subunit ribosomal RNA", at positions 338 to 795 of the family's 1533-position model. The record is from RNAcentral.